GACCUCGGAUCAGGUAGGGAUACCCGCUGAACUUAAGCAUAUCAAUAAGCGGAGGAAAAGAAACCAACAGGGAUUACCUCAGUAACGGCGAGUGAAGCGGUAAUAGCUCAAAUUUGAAAUCUGGCUCUUUCAGGGUCCGAGUUGUAAUUUGUAGAGGAUGUUUCGGGCACGGUUACGGUUUAAAUUUCUUGGAACAGAAUGUCAAAGAGGGUGAGAGUCCCGUCUUGAACCGAUUACUUCGUCCAUGUGAAACUCCUUCGACGAGUCGAGUUGUUUGGGAAUGCAGCUCAAAAUGGGUGGUAAAUUUCAUCUAAAGCUAAAUAUUGGCCAGAGACCGAUAGCGCACAAGUAGAGUGAUCGAAAGAUGAAAAGCACUUUGAAAAGAGAGUUAAACAGUAUGUGAAAUUGUUGAAAGGGAAGCGCUUGUAAUCAG
This 433-nucleotide ribosomal RNA is filed under the name uncultured fungus. RNAcentral describes it as "eukaryotic LSU rRNA". It matches the Rfam family "Eukaryotic large subunit ribosomal RNA", at positions 1 to 432 of the family's 3401-position model. Lineage: Eukaryota; Fungi. The record is from RNAcentral.